UGAGGGAUAUUGGUCAAUGGGGAAACCCUGAACCAGCAACGCCGCGUGAGGGAAGACGGUUUUCGGAUUGUAAACCUCUGUCCUCUGUGAAGAUAAUGACGGUAGCAGAGGAGGAAGCUCCGGCUAACUACGUGCC
RNAcentral lists this ribosomal RNA (136 nucleotides) under uncultured bacterium. RNAcentral describes it as "partial 16S ribosomal RNA". It matches the Rfam family "Bacterial small subunit ribosomal RNA", at positions 355 to 509 of the family's 1533-position model. The record is from RNAcentral.